UCGACCUCGGAUCAGGUAGGGAUACCCGCUGAACUUAAGCAUAUCAAU
RNAcentral lists this ribosomal RNA (48 nucleotides) under Podostictina berberina. RNAcentral's name for it is "partial large subunit ribosomal RNA". The record is from RNAcentral. Lineage: Eukaryota; Fungi; Ascomycota; Lecanoromycetes; Peltigerales; Lobariaceae.